RNAcentral lists this non-coding RNA (890 nucleotides) under Caenorhabditis japonica. RNAcentral describes it as "Eukaryotic small subunit ribosomal RNA". It matches the Rfam family "Eukaryotic small subunit ribosomal RNA", at positions 910 to 1831 of the family's 1831-position model. Lineage: Eukaryota; Metazoa; Nematoda; Chromadorea; Rhabditida; Rhabditidae. The record is from Rfam by way of RNAcentral.
GGUGAAAUUCGUGGACCGUAGUGAGACGCCCAAUAGCGAAAGCAUUUGCCAAGAAUGUCUUCAUUAAUCAAGAACGAAAGUCAGAGGUUCGAAGGCGAUUAGAUACCGCCCUAGUUCUGACCGUAAACGAUGCCAUCUCGCGAUUCGGAGGGUUCAUGCCCUACCGAGGAGCUACCCGGAAACGAAAGUCUUUCGGUUCCGGGGGUAGUAUGGUUGCAAAGCUGAAACUUAAAGAAAUUAGACGGAAGGGCACCACAAGGCGUGGAGCUUGCGGCUUAAUUUGACUCAACACGGGAAAACUCACCCGGUCCGGACACUAUUAGGACUGACAGAUUGAAAGCUCUUUCUCGAUUUGGUGGUUGGUGGUGCAUGGCCGUUCUUAGUUGGUGGAGUGAUUUGUCUGGUUUAUUCCGAUAACGAGCGAGACUCUAGCCUGCUAAAUAGUCGACGAAUCUUCGGGUUCGUAUAACUUCUUAGAGGGAUAAGCGGUGUUUAGCCGCACGAGAUUGAGCGAUAACAGGUCUGUGAUGCCCUUAGAUGUCCGGGGCUGCACGCGUGCUACACUGGUGGAGUCAGCGGGUUUUUCCUAUGCCGAAAGGUAUCGGUAAACCGUUGAACUUCUUCCAUGUCCGGGAUAGGGUAUUGUAAUUAUUACCCUUAAACGAGGAAUGCCUAGUAAGUGUGAGUCAUCAGCUCACGUUGAUUACGUCCCUGCCCUUUGUACACACCGCCCGUCGCUAUCCGGGACUGAACUGAUUCGAGAAGAGUGGGGACUGUGGCUGCGAGGUUUUACCACUUCGCAGUUGCGGAAACCAUUUUUAUCGCAUUGGUUUGAACCGGGUAAAAGUCGUAACAAGGUAGCUGUAGGUGAACCUGCAGCUGGAUCAUCG